Molecule: non-coding RNA, 16573 nt
Organism: Phalacrocorax carbo (great cormorant)
Lineage: Eukaryota; Metazoa; Chordata; Aves; Suliformes; Phalacrocoracidae
Source: RefSeq, a predicted model, not a curated record
AAUAGAGUUCUGGUCCUGCUGCAGAGUAAUUAUUUCCUAUCCUAGCUCAGAUAAGUUGUAUUUAUGUAUCAUUAUCUCUUCCAGGAAAUUCAUUUUUUACUAGUAGAUCCCACAAAGUCAAUGCAUUUAGAAUAAUACAAAAAUUAAUUGCAGUGAAACAGCAUAUUCCUGUUCCCACAAUCACAAUUAAAUAUGCACAAUUUUAAUAAUUUGUUUAAUGAAAGGAAAAUAAAGAAGAAAAUGUAAUUUCUCCUCAAUUAAGUCCAGACCAGACUCAUUCCUGAACUGCUUGCCUUCCACUCACUGUUUAACCUGGGAAUAGGCAUGUGUCACCAUGACCAAAAGCCUGUUUCCAAUGGAUGACAUUGGAAAAGACAGUCUGUUGUUUGUCUCCACUGACGUAUCUGUAGUCCUGGAAAAGUUCCCAGUGUAGGCCAGGAGGAUCAUUAGUGCAGACAAGACACCCAGAAGCCCUUCCACUCCUAAUGCUCCCAUACCUGCUUCUGUCUGAAGAAGCAGCCUACUGGCCCGCAUCCCCUCCUAUCAGCAUUGCCAAAUCUUGACAGGCUUGAGGACUGUUUUGCUUAUUUGUUAAUUAAAAAACAGACAUUGCAACUAUCAAUAUAAGAAGAAAUUAACUACUUUCUACCCCUUUUAGUUUCAGUUAAUCCAAAAGCCAAAUGCCAACAGGAAUCAUCAGUCAUAAAAUUAUCUAUGAAAGAAAUAACUCUGCCAUGUUAAAUAGGUGGGGGGGAAAAAGCUGCCAUGAAAUUCUAGUUAACAAAGAAUUUCCAGUGACACCUUCAGUGUCUUUAAUACACAUGAUUCGUUCUUUCUAGAAAAUUAAGAAUUUGGCUUUUAAUGUCAUCACAAAUGAGUAAUAGCUUUUCCUUCAAGAACUCUUCGUGGCAGUGGUAUCCAAAUGAUGUCCUUGCCACUGAAAUAAUGUCUCUCAAACUAAACAGGGGUCACAAUUUAUGUUGCAUCACUACUGAAAGAACUAUUAUUAAAAUGUUAGUAUCAUACUGCUGUACAGCAAGCUCUUCUGUGGACUCUAGUGUCAUACAAUAAAAUUAAUUUAGACACAAAAACUUUUAUAACUUGAAAUUUAUAGAAAACUGUAACACAAGCAAUCUUAGAAGAGAUAAGCACUCUCAGAGAAGUAACUUCCAGCUUUAGUGAGCUAAACCAGUACUUUGGGGGGAAGUGUACUGAGCCAUCUACACAGCUACUUGUCAACCUCUUGGUAUGUAUUGAUUCCAUAAACAUCAAGAUUUCAGAAGAGUAGAAUUUAGCUCUGUAGUGAAUGAUGCUGCAAAAACAUAUCCAGUCAGCUCUGGGGUUUUUGUUUCAUUCAACUGCAAACUGGUUGGCACUGCUGUAGCUCUUUUGUUACUCAUUGUUGCGAUUCCUGAUUUGCUUGGGAGAUCUUUUUAGGGUCUGGGUUGUCACAUUAAGUUUCUUCAAUGAUGAGAAAGCUCAAAACUAUGCUCCUAGGUCUUUACCUGACCAAAUUAGCAUCUUGGCUUUAAUGAAGCACCAUGUGCAAGUGAAACAAAUCCAAGCAUGUAAAAGCAAUUUAAUGGUUUGCAAAGUGAUACUGCUCUACUCACCUUCUGGGGUUAACCUUUGGUGCUCUGAGUGAUGUAUGUGCUCAGCACUCUCUCUUAGUAUCAUAAAGCUGCAGUCCGUGGGAAUGCCACAGUACUUGGAAUUUAACAAGAGGCAAAUGUACCCAUAUCUAGAAGCCAAUUUGCUCUUUGAAAACAACCUUGAUGCUGAGGCAGCUAUUCUGCUGCUAUUCAGAGCACAAGUAAAGGUUCUCCUCAGUGGGGACUGGGAGCCUCCUCACGUGGAAGUUUGCCUGACACAGACUACCUGAAGACAGAUUUUAAAUGUCAGAAGGGCACUGAGCUCUUCUAGUGCACUGUUUAGUGGGAGUUUGAGGAAACUUGCUCUUCAUUAAGAUGCCACCUUCCUCAUUUCUCUCGUUUUAUUUUGGCCUCUCCAUCACUAAUGCUCAGCCAUGCCUACUAGCUUGGACUAAAAGUCUCCCAGCCUGGAGAUUUUUCCUGUAUGACUAGAAAGGAACAAUAUGGGGCUCAGGUUAAUUCAACAGAGAGCUCAUCUGCUUUAAAUCACUAGUAUUACUAAUGGUCUAUGGGAACUGCAGAAUGGGGUGGUACCAGACAGGGAAGGCAAUGCAGAAAUAGCCUUUGUGUUUGUGACACGGUGUCAAUUUCCUUUUCCAUAAAACAGGAAUGUAUCAUUUUUAUGGCAAACAAAAAAGAAAUCCCCACUCAGAUUACACAUUACAAUAUUUCUUGUUAACAACAUGUUAUAUGACAUUUUGAUUAGUUGUCAGUCUAACUGUGAAACUUUAAAACUGGGUGUAGAAAUAGCUAGAAGAAUAUACGUCUUGGGAUCUGGUACCUGACAGUAUUCAUAACUAGUGGAAAACUCCCUGUCUAAAUUCAUAUAUAUAUUUAAAAACAGUUUCAGAUAGAACUCUGAACAGAAAUACAUAUGAACUUUGGGAAAGUUUGAAUCUUCCCAAUAUUAACUGAGCUGAACAGGCUCCUUUUGCAGUUUAUAUUGAUCAUCCUUCAGGGCUUUUCGACAAUCAGCUCCUAAACAUUGCUGACAGUAUCUAACAGAUGAACACUGUUAAUGUUAUUUGAGAUGGCUUUGAGUAGAAAUUAAUUUUAAAAUUAGAAUGGCUAACAAGGCAAUAAAGGAACACAGCUAUUUUCACACUAUUGUUAUCUUGUUUCCAUCCUAUUUUUAUAGAAACAUCGCCCAUCUGCUAAAUGAUAGUAAAUCACACCCUGAAGAUUGGCUUCCUAUUCCAUGGAAGGCGUUAUCAAGCCUGGUAAUAUUCUAUGACCUAAGUGAGGCACCUCAGCUCCUUCUGUGACCGAGGGAAAAGAGCAUCUGGGAGGUGUUCAUGCUGUAGGCAUUCUGAUGACAACAGAACUCUGUUCUUAACUGAACAUGGGGAUGCAGAGACAACCCUGGCAUGCACACAGUGCAAUAGCUCUGGGUGCUUCACAUCAACCCAUUCCUGUUGGAAUGUAUAUAUUAUCUAAAAGAUCCAUCAUCUCAGCUGCACCUUGAAUUUAAGAAAUAUUUACAGAUAUUAUGGCCAGAGGUGGGACAACUGCCUGAUAUUCAGCCAGAAUAAAAGCAACGCUGAGAUAAAUGAGACUUCCUGCCAAGAGCUGAAAAGAUUUCACAAAGGAUGUAGAAGAAAGAAAUGAUUCAAGCAAGUCUUUUGGGUGGUUUUCUUUUCCUCUCCCAUGGUUACAAAGAACCAUACAAUAUCCAAUGUACAAACAGGUCCUGCUGCAAAAAGGGAUAAUGAGCAAAGCACUGUUGUCCUGCCCAUGCUUUUUAAGAAGGAAGAGGAACACAAAGCAAAUGGGGAGCUGUGAGCCACAGCAGCUCUAUCAGUCACAGUUAAGUGGAGCCCCUUCUGCUAGACUACCUCUUCAAAUAGAGUGUUCCCAUUUAAUGUUCCUCAACAAUAGCUGUCUGCUGGAGAUUGGCCUUAGCCUGCUUGGAAGCAUUUGAGACUGUGAAAUUGGAGUAACUUGGGAUUCAUGUGGGGUUUUUUUUUUGCUAAGCUGGGCCCCUAUUGCUCUAUCUCUUUUUGGCUAAUGUUGUCUAUAUUGGUAACAACCCCCACUGGAUGAGGUUCACAGCAUGCAGUUGGUUUCUCAGUACCUCAGUGAUACUGAGACCAACACACUGUAUUUCCUUUAAUAAAAUUUAAUUUUCAUAGAUAAUGAAACUAUGUAGAUAAAAUGAAGGAAUCACUUUUCUAAAAACUUUUAAGAUAUGUCCUAAUGGAAAGAUUAAAUUAUACUAAUUUCUACUUUGCCUCAACCGAAGUUCCCCCAAGGGACUUAUUUAUCUAGUUGCUAUAGCAAGAUCAAAAGCCACCCUUGUCUGCCACCAGCCUGUUGCAGGAGCAGAGUUCAGAAGACAGCAUGCAGAGAAAACUGGAGUUAGCCAAGACAGGAAAUUUCAAGGACAGUCUAUCUGGGACAUUUAUUGACCAGUCACCUGCUGAUAAAAGGUGCCUUCUGCACUCUAGUUUUAUAGUGCUGAAAAUAUCUUCUCUUUUAUCAAAAUUAAAAAUUGGUUGAUUUGGAUUUUUUCCCAAAAUAUAUCAGGAAAGUUACUCUCUUCCCUAGUAAUAUAUAAGUGGCCUAGAAUUUAAAACCAUCAUCCUGAAGUGAAAAGAUUUCUUUCCUUGGCCCAAAAGUAUCCAAGCCCACGUUUUCCACUUUCCAGUUACAGCUGCUGCUGUGGGGAGACCAGCCAGUUGCAGAGAACAGAGCUUGCUGCUGAAGCUAUGCCAUUUCUCCCUACAUGGACCCAGGAUCCAUGGGGAAGAGCUAGCACUACAGAAAGAAUUUGGAAGCUGAGAGUCAGUUUACAGGCAGGACAUUUGCGUUCCAGCGAUUGGCUGGAGAACAGGCUUGGCAUGUGCUUGAGGAGAGGUGAGGGCAGCGGUGGCUCAGGGCACAGGGAAGGGCAUCUGCUGCAGCCCUGCCUGAGAAGAUGCCCUGCCAUCUGCCUGCACAGCUGCUGGUCCAGCCCAGCUCCUCUGGUCCUACUGUACCACUCACCCUGAUACACUCGCAGCAGCAGAAACAUCCUGCUGCUUUCCUCCCAAAGGAAAGAGCUCUGCCCUUGCCAAGAGGUCCCAAAGGCCCAAGAAGAUGCUUUGAGCUUGCUCCUGGUGGGAAAGGACUGCUAGGAGAAGAAGGGGGACCACUGACCUUACACCCUGGAAGAGCACAAAAGGAGGAAGUUGAUAAGUAAAGGAGGAACGAAAAACCAUACCUUGGCUUUGUCUCUCCCUCAAAUGCAUCCAUAAUCUGCUACAGAAAUAUCUUUCUGAAACUAUCAGGACCCCUCUCUCCUACCCUUUGGAGAUGCGUGGACCCUUCUGACUCCUGCCUUUUGCUUAGCAUCCAAUGCAGGUCUCUGCCAUCCUGCUUUUAAAAGAGCCAUCUGCCUCGACAUUCUCCCCUUCCUCACCCAAAGCUUCUCAAAAUGUCCUCUACCUCUCUCAGCCCUCUCUUUGCCCACCCACAUAUAAAUAUGCUCCUUCCAGUGCCCCUCCUUCCUCCAGUCCUGUUAUCUUCUCAAAACAAAUUAAUAACAACUGUAGAUUUAGGCAUUUUCAAACUAGGAAGUGACUUGUAGGAUAUAUAUGCAACACUUUAACCAUCCUUCAUAUGAUUUACCAACAAUUUUUAUAUGGUAUUUAAGUUUUUGUUUUGUCUUAUAAAUCCUGGUAUAGGUUUACUAUUUUGUACUCCAUUCAGAAAAAGCCUCAUAAAAAUGUAAAGUGACUAAAACAGGAGACAAAAGUAUGGCAUUGAGAAAUAAACACAAAGAAACACUCUUAUGGGUGAAAACCUUAGUGUUAUAUUUUUUUGUGUUGAACCAGUAAUGAACCUCAAGGUCAGUUUAAAUUAAUUCUUAUUGAAUUUCCUAUGUGGUGCAGUUGUCAAUAGAAUAAUAGCAUGCAUCAGUGGCUUGUAGCUAUUUUUUUCUUUCAUCUCUAUUUCCUUCUCUUUGGCAUUUUAUAAAGCAGACAAUUUUUUUUUCAUAAAAGACUUGGAACCCCUUGAUUUUUAAAAAUUACCUAUGGAAUUCUGCCUUGUGAGGUGCAAAACGAACAGGGAAAAAUCACAAACUGUGGUAAAUGUCCCUGCGGAGCCCUCUCUAAUUAACUGUGCAUUCCUGAAGGAGCCCCAGGAGUGGAGAAAGGUACUUGUUAAAUGAGGCAACAGUUUCUAUGGAAAUGGAAAAUAACCACUCUCUUGAAACUUCCUACCUAAAAAUUUAGGCUGUUUGUAUGAAUUAUGUUCUAUUUGGUACAUCUUUCCAGACAGAAAACUUCUCAACUUUCAACUCUAAUAAUGACACGGAAUGCUGGUAGUCAAAUUAAUAUAAUCUAUUUGUGCAGCUUUAUUAGCUUAACAUGUAAAAGACAGGUGGAUCAUACCAGUCCGUUCAUGUAUAUGACCAUGUUCAGCUAAUUGUAUUUAGACAUCUUGCUGUCUUUUGCAUAUAAUGCUGUUAGUUAUCACUUGAGUUAUUUUCUGGUUUACUUCUCUAUUGAUCAAUGAAAAUCUGACUUUUUAACACCAGGCUGCUGUGCAAAGUGCAAUUACACAACCUAUUCUGUAACACAGUUCUGAAAAUACUUGAAAGCCACCUGGCCAAUGAGUCCUCCUUCAGAUGCUACAGUGUCCUACCUAACAGUCCUGAGUCCUUUGCAAAAUUCAGGUCACUGAGCACCUGAAAGCAAACCCCAAAUGCCAAAUGAUCUGAAAUCACUGUAUGGAUUUUCCAGCUGAGUUUUUGCAAUAGCAGCAGAAAAGCAUGUUUGGAGCUCUGCAAGGUAUGUUAGGAUUAAUGGAAACCAAUGAGGUGUUAAGCAACAAAACCAGAGUGAAUAUAAAUAGAAAAUAUUGCAUAUUCAAUUUAAACAGUCCCUUUUCCGUUGAAAGAAUGAAUUUUUAAAAAUCUUUCUAAAAUUAAUUUAAUUAUCUUGGCCUCCGAAAAAAAGUAGCUAGGCAUAAAGGCUUGAACUGUGGUCUCAAUCUGAUGGUGUUCUUGCAGCUUAAGAUACAUUUCUAGUUUUGAUGAAGUUGGCAACAUAACUCCUACUCCCUUCAAUGGCCUGGGACUUUGCUCUGUGAGAGAGAACUAAAUCCUCUGGUUCUGUCAGACAAGUAAAGUACUAUGUUUUUCCUAUUAUGAAACCAAGUAAUAUGUUAUUACUAACUAUAGAUAUAUAAUAUAUUAUAUAUAUUUUAUAUAAUAUAUCAUAUAAACUGAGUUAUAAGAUAUUCCCAGCUUCAGGUGAAUCUAGUAUCUACUGUUCUUGAGACCAGUAGCCUAGCUGCAGAAAUGACACAAAAAUACCAAGCAGCUUGAAUUCACCAUAACUUUCAGGGCACAGUUCUCUGAAGCGACUUCACAUAGUUCUUCCCUCAUGGAAAUACUGGAAACAAGGGAUGAAAAUAACAAAAUCAAAUCUCAAACUUCGUUUGCCAUUGUACUCAUGCUAGGUGGUUUCCUGAUGUUUGAGCAGUUCAUGUUCAGGCUCCUGCUGUGUACACACUUUCAAAAUACACAGCACAACCCAUAUUUCUGCAGCAUUUAUUUUAAUUAGAAUUUGUGGCAUGAAGCCCCACCUAAAACAGAAAACUGGAUGAUUGUUCACCUCUUGCUCACAUAUCUUUUGCUGAAAAACAAUCCUCUGUGCAAAUGAAGUCUGGUUUGCAACUACCCUCUUACACACUGUUAAGAGGAAAAGAAAAAUAAACCAAGGAGUUCUCAUUAGCAAACCUCCACUGGCAUUGCUCACUGCUGGCUUCAUAGCAAAAAUUGUAUAUUUUUAUCAUAGUUAUUGCAUUGGGUUUGCAUGACAAGGUUUUUAUAAUCAUACAAGUGAAAAUAAAUGUUUAUUAAGUAGUUAUUUAGAUGAUGAAGCUUUUACUUUGUGUCAUAAUCUUCAGUAGGAGACAAUGUAGUGCGGGAUCAAGGAGUUUAUUGACUGCUUUUUAAUACCAAAUUAAAUCUUUAGAUAUUGAUCAAAGAAGCAUAGAAAUCAAAGAAAAAAUAAUGCUCUGCAGUAUUUGAAAGACUGAAUUAUGACACCAGGGAGUUACAGGCCUGAAAAUUAGUUAUUAAUUGUGAGAAAAAUGACAUAAAAGCUGAUCUGAAGCUUUAUAAAUAGAAAAAUAGAGGGUAAUAAUAUGAUAAUAUAAUUAAUACCAAUCACCUAAUACUAAAGAGUAGUAUUCAAUAUUCAAUAUUUCAAUGCUAUUGAAAGCAUGGCCUGUCAAACAACUGAACAGUAGUGUUGGUGUAGUUUACUUGGAUUUACAUAAAAAGUUUAACUUCAUUCUGUGACUUUUUGAUGAACAGACUAAAAUAAUUUGGAGCUGACAGGAUAUGUUUCAAUUAGAUAUUUUGUAUGUUUAAAUUGUAAUUUUAAGGGAAAACUCUUCACUAUGUUUCUGCAGGGUAUUUCAAGAAUAAUUUCUUGGCUAAAGAUUAGUGAAUAUUAGUUCACACUCAGCAACCUGAGUAUGAAUAAAAUUUGUUCACUGUCUCUGUAUAAUCAGACUCAUGGCUAGUAUCUUUUAUUCAAUAUACCAUUAUCAGAUGUAGUCUUUUAGUAUCAUUUCACUAUUGAACUGUGAUAAUUAGUGUGUGACAUGAUUUUUUUUAAGUAAUAAAGAUAACAUGUCACUUGGGAGCAGGGUGAGUGUGGGGGUGAAAGGAGCCUGAAUUCCCUCAGCUGCAAGUGCAAACUGCAAGGAGAUCAGAGACAGGUCUCAGUCCUCACCACAGGGGCUUCCCUGGUAGCCCCUGUGUUGGUUCUCAACCUCUUAAUCAGCUCCUCUCUCCCUCUCCUCCCCUAGCACUGGCACCAUUUUUUGGACAAAAAAUAAACUAAGCGCUUUUAAUUUUAAGGGAAUAGACUGUGAAUGUUAGGAACUGAAAUGCUACAGACCACAUUGGUUGGAACUAGCUGUCUUCUGCAGGGGCAUGUGUUAGUGAUCUGUUAAACUUAACGGCUGAAGGAAGCAUAUCACCGUCAGACUCUUUGGCUAUGUAUGUGCUGCUAAUUAUAAUAUGCAAGAAGCUGUUCUUUGGUCCUGUGAGCAAAUGGUACAUCACAGCUCCUGUCCUUACAGCUAAGCACUCCGCCUCAAGACUAGCCAGCUUGUGCAUGCCACAGGGGAUACACUAGCAAUUGAGCAGUAUGGGCAAUCGCACACCAGUACCUGAGCUGGUUCAGAUCUAGCUAAUGCUUUUGGCUCUGGAGGUUGACUAGGCAAAGCACAUUAAUGUAAUUAAAGGCAGCUAAAAAUCACCUUUACUGGAUCAGUUAAAAGCAUCAUUUACACCCUCUGGAAACAUAUAGGACCGGUGAACUCUUAAAUAACAAUCCAUGUCAUAACUGCAAAGGAUGAGUGUUAGCUAGUCAGAUGUUCUUAUUUCCGGCAACAGAUGGCCUUGCUCUUAAUAAGGCAUAGUCAGUCACCUAUACCUGAGUUAACGAUGAAACUGGAAAUCAGAAAUGUUCAGGGAUUACAAAAUUCUGUGUAAAAUACAGAGAUUUUUCUGAAAAAGAUGAGACCCAAAAAAACCCCACUCAUAAAGCAGCUUAUUUCUACUCUAAGGCAGCAGAUCCAGUCUUACAAGUUUUUGAGGUUAAUGGAGUCUGUGAUAACAGGCCAAAUCAUGACUGGGAUACAGGUCAAAGCUCAUAGAUAUGUUGAGGAAACGCAGAGUUAACACUUAGGCAAGGAGUUAGAAUGUGCUGAGAAAGAAAAUCACCCAGUCUUGACUGAAGCCUGCUCUUUGACACAAUACCAACACUGAGAGCCAAAACUACUGCAGUUGGAGGCAAGUUGAAAGUAAUGAAUAAUUCAAAAUCUGAGUUCCAUAUGAAGAGCUAGUGCACCAUGUUCUAUCAAAAACAUCAUCCAAAUGUGAUCACUACAACGAUGUGCAUCAGGUGGGGAGAUAUCUGAAGCACCCUGGGAGCAUGUGCCUCGUGGCCAAAGAGGAUGACAGUGCUGUUGGCUCCCAGGAAUUCCUCAUGGGAAAGGUAGUUGCAAGCAAAGAAGAAAAUAGUUGCCAUGAAACCAAGUGGUGUGUAUUAGUUUCAAAUUGAGCAUACGUGCAUGCCUGUUCUAUCAAAAGCAGGACCAGUACUAAAGGAAGAGAUACAGGGACCAGAAGUUUCAGGUAACUUGAUUCUUCCAAGUGGAUAAUCUAAAUUAUAUAUUAACCAUACCUUCCCCCAUUCUUUCUUCUCUCAUGCACAUAUCACAUACAGAACUGUCCAUAAUAUGCAUAAUAAAGAGGGCUUGAUACUGACAGGUCGAACUCUGCCUGUUGCUAUGUAAAAGUACCCCCCUCUUGAGCAAAAACUGGAUAAACAGGACUUUUAAAGCUUUGAGAAGAGAAUGUACUAAAUGUACUUUCACAGGGUAAUUCAUGUGCUUGUUAUUACCUGUAUUUUUGUUUUAUCUAGUUUUUCCCAAUCCUCCAUUACCCCUAAUAACUGAGCAAUGACUGGGUACACUUAAAACUCAUUGCUUAAUGGGGCAGUUUAUUUUCACAGAACAUCCAAAGACCUAAAUGCAUGCCUCUGUGCAAAAUGGGAAAGCUAUAAUUAUGAUACCAUUGGAAAAAUAGGGAAACCAAUACUGGAUUAAAUGGGUGUCAAGGUGUUGUCUAGUCAGAACUCUCAUGAAAAAGUAGUGAAGCAAAAUAGGAAAGAAUCUGAGGACCUAUCAAGGGAAUGGAGAAUUUCUCAGUGAAGAGUAGAUAGGAAUUGGAGGAGUUUUAGAGAAAGGAAUAUAUCUACAUAAUUUUGGAUAUAGAUUCUGAAGCUGUAUUUUUGUUUAUAGGUGUUGGAGGACCUUGAGCAGAAGUCCAAUGGCAUAUAUUACACAGGAAAGCUUAUCUCAUGGUAGUGAUACCCUCUAGUCUUCAACUCUGUAUCAUAGUGGAAUUCUAGGAACCCACAGCAAACAACAUUGUUCCUCUCAGCAUUCCUAGAGAGCACGAGCAUUGUGAGCCUUUUUGGAAAUUAAUCCAACUUUGUUGACUGACAUAGAAAGAGAAUUUAGGACCAUGGUUCAUCUCAGAUUUGGGCUCAUAUUGUCACUAGUGCAUUUAUGUACUUCUCUACAAUGCUACUGUGAUGGCCAGAAUAUGAAAGAGAAUAGAGGGUUAAUCAUAACUUCCUGAGGCAUUAAUGAGUUAGAGUUUCCACUGAGUAGUUACUAAAUCUCAGUGUCCAUAUUUUCCAUUGAUGUAAAGGUUUGGAAGGAUGCUAUGCCACAUUUCGAGUGUGAAAUGAAAGCUAAUGUUCCUAUACUAUAUACAAAUUGAUACAUGGAUAUCCUUCUAAAAACAAGGCAUACAAAGUUGUGACUGUCACUUCUGAGGAUUAGCAGUCUUAUAUGACGGCUUCCACUUGGAUAAAAUAUGCAUCUAUGGCUGUACUUGUGCUUGUUUAUUUGCAGAUAUAGUGAGAACUGGUUGAACACCCUGUAGCAUAUCAAUGAAAACUCUCUGCUUCUGCAAGCUAGAACUAGCAAGACACACCUUGAGUGGCAUGAGAGACUAGUAGGCGAGCAACGUGCCUUUCACACAUUAAUAUGUAUGGCAUAAGUUUACAGUAUGAUGAGGACAGUGUAGAUAUGUCUUGAAGGUCAAGGUCCUGCUCUGGAGGGAAGUUAUAAUGUGGAAAUAUAGUUUUGGGUAAGGCACUAAUACAGCCUACUUUUCAUCUAAUUGUCCUGAACGUGCUGGUUAACCAUGUGUGGGAUGAGCUUCCAAGUAAUUUGAAGAGUAUCAUUAAGGAAAAGUAGACAGAACAAGGCACCCUCUGCCAACAUUGCUAGAGCUGGCUCUUUCUUAAACACCUCCUACAUACUUGAUGCUGGGAGAGACAUUACAGCUUGCACAUUCCACCCCUACCGGCAAGCUUCAUCUCAGAUUAACAGUUGUUGAGAGUAAACUAUAUCAUUUAUGAGGGGUGUGAAUUAUCUCUUGCUUAGCAUUUCUCCACAAACCUUUAGCAAAUGAUACAACUUAAUCUAUAUUUUCAGAAAAAUCAUACAGUAUUUCAGCUCUUCGGGGGGUCUACCGUAAUAUUAUUUCUGGAAAAAUGGAAUGGAACGGAAUGGAAGGUUAAUACAAGAAGGAAACAGCAUUACCUACUUAAAUUUCAUAUCUGUCCUCCAAUUUUGACCUCAAAAUAAAGAACUUUUUCUAAAAUAAAGAACUUAAUUGGAAAAGAUAAUUGUUUUAUCAAACCUCCUAUCUAAUAAUUAUUUCACUACAAUUAAGAGAUUACUUAAAACAUGAAUUAAGCUUCCAACAGUUUCUUAAAUUCUAUAACAUGUUCAGAAUAAUAUGUAAAUGAUAUUUCUUCUUCUGUGUGUGUGUGUGUGUGUGUUAAAGGUUUAUGUAACAGGAUUUUGUUAUGAUAUGUUACGGUUUCUAGGAUUUCUGAUAAGCCAGUUUUUAAAUUGUAUGACUUUAAGAUCUAAAAUAUUAACCAUUUCUUAUCAACUUUCUAAUAUAUUUUAUUUGCUUGUUUUUUCCCCACACGUACCUCCAAACCCUUAGGCCAUUCUUUUAAAUGAUCCAAUUAAAUUAUUUAAAUAAGAUUUCCAAAUGUGGGAUGAUAAUUUCUGACAGUUUUGAAAAGUAAGUGAACUGAAAUGGAAAGUUUUGAGAAAAGAUUAGACAAGAACGUGUCAGGAAUAUUCUAGGAAAAUAUAGUCCUAUUCUCAGAACAAAGAUUUAUAUCAUAUAAUGUGUUUAGGGUCCAUGCAAUUCUACAUUUUCAUGAUAUUUUUUUUUAAGUAUAAGCAACCUUGUACUAAUGGUAACAGAAACUUACCUUGAGCUACAAGGUGAAGUAUAAUAUGUGAGGAGUGUAAAUUAAAAUUAGGCUGUUCAUUCUCAAAAGAUCAAAGAAAUAUUUUAAAUAUUUUGCUGAAGUGGUUCUUCUUUUGUUUGGUUAGUUGGGUUUUUUUUCAGAGGACAUUUAAAACUUGAAAAAUCUACAAAAUUUCAUCCUAGGGAUUCAAAUCACAGAAAAAAUGAACUUAAAAUUCAUAUUACUUUUACAGGAAAAUAUAAUUCAUUCUUAAAUACAUUGUACAACCAGUUACAGUGUUACAAAAAACUUGUCAUAUCUCAAGUGUUUGCUACGAGUAAUCUCAGGAAUUUUGGUGUUUUAUAAGCAUUACUUUAUUAUCUUUGGAACACUGUCCUGUAGCAAGUAUUACUUAAGCUGUAAACAUGGAGAAAUUUGUGUACAGCACAACUAGAACACCAAAAUUAUGGAGGAAUUCAUAGCUGAAUUGCUAAUGUGUCUUUGUAUCCCUGAAGCAGAAGAACUUUUCCCCAUCCUACUACGGUGCAAGGAGAGUCUCAAAAGAUACAUCUCAGAAAGAGGUUUUAUUUGGUUUGUUAGUACAACUUUUAUGUAAAGGGGGGUUGUUGAGUGCAAAGUGCAUACAUGUUUAAAGGCAAAAUGGGUUAUGGGUGGAGCAUGAGGUUUCUGUGGAGGGGGCCCUAUAUACCCAGCAAUACAGUCUGGAGCAGCCUGGAGAUGAAAAGCAGACAAUCAGGGGAUUAUAACAAAAGGUUAUGUAUAUGGACUCUGAUGUGCCAUUUCCAUUUCAACCUAGAAUUACAUCAUUCUCCUUAUUCUGUUUCAUAAGAUCUUUAUUUUAAAAUGUGAUUUAAAGGGUAACACCACCUUACGUGAACAAUUUUAACCUGGAGAAACAAUGGAGAGUAGGGAAGCUAUUUUGAAGAAAGGGACAUUGCAGUUAGUUACCUUUUCUUUCUCCAGCUGUCUCUUGGAUGCUGGUUACAUUCAGAUUGGGUGAUCACCUGGCUGUUUUCACCCAGUUUUCAUAAGGUGAAAACCAGCUGGUUAACAUAAAAGCAGGCAACCAAUCAUCAGGAAAGUGAGAGUUACAUAAAGGAAAGAGCUGAAAUGCCUGCCAGUUCACGCAGGGAGCUUACCUGGGGACUCUGUCCCGAGUCCUGCCUUGCUAAGGCUUUACAGAACCUGCAUGUCCACCAUUAAUGGCUGUAUGAAGCAAAACCAUUGAAUCAGUCGUCUACCCCUGUAGCAGGGAUUGUCUUCAUGGUUUUGCAAAGACAUUGAGAUCAACAAUUUCACCUGAUGCACUUCUGUUCAUGAACAGAACCUUAAUAAAAUGGCAUAAACAACUAAUUUUACAACAAGAAAGCUCUAGGCAAAUUACAGGAGACAGACAGUAGUUAGAACUUGUAUAGUUUUUACCCCAUUCCGUAUUUUGCCUAUUUUCCCUAUUUUGCCUUUCAGCUCUGGCCUUUUAAAUGGCUAUGAGAAGUAAAUGUAAAGUGACUCUCUAGUUUAUAUGAAUUAAACACUGAAUGAAGCCCAUAAAAUUAUAACAGAACUAUUUAAAAUAGUUAGGAAAAUAUCAACCGGGAAUGGAAUAGAAGAUCCCAUAAAAAUGUUGCAUGCUUUAUCCUACAUCAUGAUGGAGUCAAGGAGGGUCUGUAAAUAUAAAAUAAAUUACAAAAAUGUUUUCAUAUAAUGAGGAAUGAAAGUGGAUGCUUAGGUUAUCUAACACUUUGUAGAGUUAAUCAGAAGGCAUAUUUUCCUCUGUACAUAGUGAAUAUUUUUCAUCUCUAUACAGCUUCAGUAUGCAGAUAUUACUUUGAAACUCCUUUUUCUUUUAUUCCUGUUGUUAGAUAGCUCUCCAUAUUUAUUUAAAAUUUCUUCAUUAGCCUUUUUUAAAAUGAGCUCAAGAAUUGUUGCUUUUGUUUCACAAAUGCAUACAUAUUAAACUAAGUUAGCUAACCCAAAUUACACUCUGGUGGAAUAGUUUUGACCUAUGUAUGGUUACCUUGCCCUCUGAAAAAUAGGAAGUAACAAUCAUUGUAGCAGUUAUGAAAACUUGAACCAAAUGAGUAAGUGAAUAGACAAUAGCUAGUUGCCAGGAUUGUCUCCCAGAUGCGGGAGGGGAACCUCAGAUCAACCUUCCCACUGAAUUCUCUUUUGCAAUUGUUCAUUUAUGUAAUCUGAGCAAGAAAACAUUUAUUAAAGGUUUCCUUGUCUUUGUAAUUGUCAACGACAGAAGUUGGGGGCUGAAGGGGGUACGAUUCCCUUAAGUCCAACACCAGUUUUUGGCAUCUCUGAUGUAACUCCAAUGAAACUCAAGCAAAGCAAGCCUAGUAUUAUCCAUAGGUACCUCAGGGAUAUUGAGACAGCAGCAAAACCUGCUUAACCUGUUUGCUUUCCCAUACUCCUAGGCUUUACCUAGCUGCCUUAUGCCAACCUCCUGCUUAAUUGUUUGAUUUAAUUGUUUCUCAUAGAAUAAUAGUUUUUCCUAACCACAUCAACAGCUGUUAUACAGUUUUGUUGUUUUUCUUGCUUUCAUUUAUAGUCUCAUUUAUAGCUACAUUUUGUUUGUUUGCUUUUGACACUGAGGAGUUUUUAACUCAUCCAGUACUUAAUUUACGGUCCUAAAGUUUCUCCAUUCUCUGUGUCAUAGAAAGAGAUUAGCAAAUCCAGAAAGUUUCAUGAGGUGAAAUUAACUGAGAUUCCUUCAAUUAUGUCUUCCCAUGGUGUCGAAAGAAGACAGAGCUGGCAACCUGUAAGUUCUGCUUGUCCUUGGGAUCCUAAAACAAGAAAAGUGACAGAGACAGUGGGAAGGGCCAAAUUGUUCCUUUGAAAGGAUGGGCACUGUGACAGCAAUAUAACUGCUGGAAUGCAUUGCAGGAAAAUACUCAGCUCUCCGCUGUUCUGACAAGUGUGAAGUGAAUAAGCAGGAAAAACUAAACAUUUGUGUAACUUCUAUGAUUCACUCUUUCAUGAACAUCUGCAGCUGUACAAGUGAUUAAAUUUAAAACCCCAAACAAUGAAAAGCAAUGCUGUGCUUGCAAGAGACUGCUUUUUAGAUGCCACUAUAAAAAAAAUUCCUUCAACUGAGUGCUCUUUGCUCUCAUGCCACAUCCCAUUACACAGAUCCAGUUCUAUCGGCCUGUAUUCAAAAACAGGAACAACCAACACGUUCUUAUCAUGCAUCCUAAUGAGUAAUGCAUGGCAGUGCUUUUUUUGAAGGACAUCUCUUAACUUGUUAGAACUUGAUUGUGCAAAGGCACAUGGUAUUGCAUGUACUUGCCUGUUAACUGUAAAAUAAAGGUCUUAAUUGCUGUAUUUCCAUCUUCUCUCUCACUUCCCAGGAGUCAUUGCCUGUGUUUUAGCUGCUUAGCAGCAAGUUAGUAUUCUGAUCACAUUUUAUCCCAUCAGGACUUUCUCCCUUUCAUCCUCAGUUUGCAAACAGUUCAAUUACUGACAUCAACUUUUGCCAGGUUUUACUGAUGUCCGGUGGAAAUUCCGUUAUUUUUGCUCUGCCUGGCUCACACGGCAUGACUGAAAAGCCUGCAUCGUAAAUACCUGCUGUACGGGAGAGGUACAUGCAGAGGAGCUGGGCAGUGCCCAAGCCUGCAGUGCAUUCUUGUCUGCUGGAAUCCACAGCCCAGUGUUAGCCUCUCUGUGCAAAGCUUUUGUCAAUGUUAGCACUAAAAAACUAAUAUUUUAGCUCAUAUCCACCUCUACUGGCAAUUUAAGCUAGAAGGCCAGGCUGCACAUUUGACGGAGUGUUGUAGGCAUAUGUGGUUUCUACCACUCUAGUGCUAGCCUUACUAGAUGCCUGGGUCUGGCCUGGAAAGUCUUGAUUUCUGGGUGUUUGCCAGAUAUCUUGAUUGCCAUACUAACAAGUUUAUUAAAAUCCUGCAUAUGCUCAGUUUUGUGUGGUUUCAGUGUGGCUCAUGUGGGGCUGACACUGCUUUGCUGCUGGGCUGGCAGCUUUAGGCCGGCUUUCUGGCUGCCUCCAGCCCGCAGCCAGGAGGCAAUAGUGAGGGGACACAUCCUGGCUACAGCUCUGAUGGUGCCAGCCUUUGCACAUCAACACGGGAAGAAGAGAGG